GGGCGCAUAGCUCAGCGGAAGAGCACUUGCCUUACAAGCAAGGGGUCGCUGGUUCGAACCCAGCUGCGCCCACCC
RNAcentral lists this transfer RNA (75 nucleotides) under Saccharomonospora sp. CUA-673. RNAcentral's name for it is "tRNA-Val". It matches the Rfam family "tRNA". Rfam says of the family: Transfer RNA (tRNA) molecules are approximately 80 nucleotides in length. Lineage: Bacteria; Bacillati; Actinomycetota; Actinomycetes; Pseudonocardiales; Pseudonocardiaceae. The record is from RNAcentral.